UGGGGAAUAUUGGACAAUGGGCGAAAGCCUGAUCCAGCCAUGCCGCGUGAGUGACGAAGGCCUUAGGGUUGUAAAACUCUUUCGUCGGGGACGAUAAUGACGGUACCCGAAGAAGAAGCUCCGGCUAACUUCGUGCCAGCAGCCGCGGUAAUACGAAGGGAGCUAGCGUUGUUCGGAAUCACUGGGCGUAAAGCGCACGUAGGCGGAUAGUUAAGUCAGGGGUGAAAUCCUGGGGCUCAACCCCAGAACUGCCUUUGAUACUGGCUGUCUCGAGGUCGAGAGAGGUUGGUGGAAUUCCUAGUGUAGAGGUGAAAUUCGUAGAUAUUAGGAAGAACACCAGUGGCGAAGGCGGCCAACUGGCUCGAUACUGACGCUGAGGUGCGAAAGCGUGGGGAGCAAACAGGAUUAGAUACCCUUGUAGUCCCUGAGCGGGCUGGCAAGGCG
This 444-nucleotide ribosomal RNA is filed under the name uncultured bacterium. RNAcentral describes it as "bacterial SSU rRNA". It matches the Rfam family "Bacterial small subunit ribosomal RNA", at positions 355 to 822 of the family's 1533-position model. The record is from RNAcentral.